Molecule: ribosomal RNA, 252 nt
Filed under: uncultured bacterium
Lineage: Bacteria
Description: partial 16S ribosomal RNA
Rfam family: Bacterial small subunit ribosomal RNA
Source: RNAcentral
UACGUAGGGGCCGAGCGUUGUCCGGAGUUAUUGGGCGUAAAGCGCGCGCAGGCGGCCUCGCGCGCCCGACGUGAAAGCCCCCGGCUUAACCGGGGAGGGUCGUUGGGGACGGCGGGGCUUGAGGGCGGGAGAGGGCGGUGGAAUUCCCGGUGUAGUGGUGAAAUGCGUAGAGAUCGGGAGGAACACCUGUGGCGAAGGCGGCCGUCUGGGCCGACCCUGACGCUGAGGCGCGAAGGCGUGGGAGCGAACGGG